Molecule: long non-coding RNA, 596 nt
Organism: Ictalurus punctatus (channel catfish)
Lineage: Eukaryota; Metazoa; Chordata; Actinopteri; Siluriformes; Ictaluridae
Source: Ensembl
CCAGAACAUGCAUACUUUUUUACUACACACUCAAAGGUUUAUACUUUGCGGAGACGUUUAGGUGGCAUUUGUGGAAGGAGUCUCCAGUGUCGGCACUUUGUAACAGUUAAAGAGAAAUGCAUCCAAAUGAAAAUGAGGAACUUGUCCAUGCAGCAAGACAAUGAUCCAGAACAUACUACCAACUCUACAAAGGACUUUAUCAGGGAGGAAAGUAGAAGGUUUUAGACUGUCCUAGUCAAUCACCAGACCUUAACCCAGCUGAAUAUGCCUUUCACCUCCUGAAGAGGAGACUGAAUGGUGAAACACCCCAAAACAAACAACAACUGAAAGAGGCUGCGGUAAAAGCUAGGAAAAGCAUCCAGAAGAAGAAACCAACAAUUGGGUCAUGUCAAUGAGUCACAGGUUUGAUAUAGUUAAUGCAAGCAAGGGUAUUCAAGGGUAUCCAAAUAUGAAGUGUUAUUUACUUUGUAUUACUUCAAGAGUUAUCUGUUCCUAUACUUUUGUACUCCUAAAAAUUGGGUGGUCUGAUACAAACGGUUGUUUAACACAUCUAAAUGUAAAUCCUAAGAAAUAAGAGCUGAAAUCCUAAAGUCUUG